This 253-nucleotide ribosomal RNA is filed under the name uncultured bacterium. RNAcentral describes it as "partial 16S ribosomal RNA". It matches the Rfam family "Bacterial small subunit ribosomal RNA", at positions 524 to 776 of the family's 1533-position model. The record is from RNAcentral.
UACAGAGGUCCCAAGCGUUGUUCGGACUCACUGGGCGUAAAGGGUGCGUAGGCGGUCGGGUAAGUCUGAUGUGAAAUCUCACAGCUUAACUGUGAAACUGCAUUGGAUACUAUCCGGCUCGAGGAAUGGAGGGGAGAAUGGAAUUCCUGGUGUAGCGGUGAAAUGCGCAGAUAUCAGGAGGAACACCGGUGGCGAAGGCGGUUCUCUGGGCCUUACCUGACACUGAGGAGCGAAAGCGUGGGGAGCGAACAGG